CGUGCAGGCGGUUCGGUAAGUUGGGCGUGAAAUCUCUUGGCUUAACUAGGAGAGGUCGUUCAAUACUACCGGACUUGAGAGUGGUAGAGGAAGAUGGAAUUCCCGGUGUAGUGGUGAAAUGCGUAGAUAUCGGGAGGAACACCAGUGGCGAAAGCGAUCUUCUGGACCAUUUCUGACGCUCAGACGCGAAAGCUAGGGUAGUAAACG
This 207-nucleotide ribosomal RNA is filed under the name uncultured bacterium. RNAcentral describes it as "partial 16S ribosomal RNA". It matches the Rfam family "Bacterial small subunit ribosomal RNA", at positions 568 to 774 of the family's 1533-position model. The record is from RNAcentral.